CAAUAGCGAAGAGUUAGGGAGUCUUUGCAGCGUGUAGAUGGUGCAGAUAUCAUUGCCAGAAUAAUCCAGCUUCGUUGCAUUGCUUGUCAAAAAUACUCUGUUCCUGCUCCCCUGUCUCUCGUCCACAUUGAUACAAAUCAUAAAUUGAUAAGAUACAACAUUGUCAUCUUUGGCGGUAUAGAUGGAUUUUCAAGGAAGAGUGAGAGCUAAUGAAGGGGUCGAAAAUGUAGAUAUUGCCAGAUGUUCACUGUCCGAGGAACAGGCCAUGGAAGCUUUAUUGCUGGCAAAAGUGUCCAUAACCAGAGAGGCAAACCUAACACCUCACCAGCUGUGGCAUAUCGGAAUGCUCCAAACACCUGUGCACAUUUUUGUUUUUGCCACUACACAUCUGAUUCAACUGAUCAAGUCAUCAUCAAGCAUCAUGUGGUUAAUAUCAGCUGUGUUGGUGAACCCCUCCCGCAUCUGAACUGGCUGACACAGAGGGCACAGUGUGAUCAUAGGUGAGAGGUCACUUGGUCGGGUCAACAGGAAGUAUUAUUAACCUCUAUGGGCUAGGUGGGACGCAAGCGUCCCACCCGUGGUGCACUCCAUCAACAGCAGGUGCAUUUCAAGAGCGGCAAAUUUGAAUCCAAAUAAAUGUCAAAAUUCAAAUUUUUCAAACAUACAACUAUUUUACACCCUUUGAAAGAUAAACAUAUCCUUAAUCUAACCACGUUUUACGAUUUCAAAAAG
RNAcentral lists this long non-coding RNA (732 nucleotides) under Salmo salar (Atlantic salmon). Its description in RNAcentral is "lncRNA (ENSSSAG00000100711.1)". The record is from RNAcentral. Lineage: Eukaryota; Metazoa; Chordata; Actinopteri; Salmoniformes; Salmonidae.